Panus rudis PR-1116 ss-1 is the source of this 110-nucleotide non-coding RNA. Lineage: Eukaryota; Fungi; Basidiomycota; Agaricomycetes; Polyporales; Panaceae. The record is from the annotation of a GenBank genome assembly.
GGCCGAUUAGCUCAGUUGGUUAGAGCGUGGUGCUAAUAGGGGGUUAAGGUUGAGUCAACUCAACACCUUCUCUUACGCCAAGGUCGUCGGUUCGAUCCCGGCAUUGGCCA